GGGAAUUUAGCUCAGCUGGUAGAGCAGCGGACUCUUAAUCCGUAGGUCGAGAGUUCGAAUCUCUCAGUUCCCACCA
RNAcentral lists this transfer RNA (76 nucleotides) under Rhodoferax fermentans. Its description in RNAcentral is "tRNA-Lys". It matches the Rfam family "tRNA". Rfam says of the family: Transfer RNA (tRNA) molecules are approximately 80 nucleotides in length. Lineage: Bacteria; Pseudomonadati; Pseudomonadota; Betaproteobacteria; Burkholderiales; Comamonadaceae. The record is from RNAcentral. RNAcentral also lists the same sequence under 27 other names.